ACUGCUCAGUAACACGUGGACAACCUACCCUAUGGAGGGGGAUAACCCCGGGAAACUGGGGAUAAUACCCCAUAGGCUAUGGAAGCUGGAAUGCUCUGUAGUCGAAAGGUCCGCCGCCAUAGGAUGGGUCUGCGGCCGAUUAGGUUGUUGUUGGGGUAACGGCCCAACAAGCCUGUAAUCGGUACGGGUUGUGGGAGCAAGAGCCCGGAGAUGGAUUCUGAGACACGAAUCCAGGCCCUACGGGGCGCAGCAGGCGCGAAAACUUUACAAUGCGGGAAACCGUGAUAGGGGAACUCUGAGUGCCCGUAAAAUCGGGCUGUCCAUCAGUUUAAAUAACUGGUGAAGAAAGGGCCGGGCAAGACCGGUGCCAGCCGCCGCGGUAAUACCGGCGGCUCGAGUGGUGGCCACUAUUACUGGGCUUAAAGCGUUCGUAGCUGGCUUGUUAAGUCUCUGGGGAAAUCUUCCGGCUCAACCGGAAGGCGUCUCAGGGAUACUGGCAGGCUAGGGACCGGGAGAGGUGAGAGGUACUCCAGGGGUAGGAGUGAAAUCCUGUAAUCCUUGGGGGACCACCUGUGGCGAAGGCGUCUCACCAGAACGGCUCCGACAGUGAGGGACGAAAGCUGGGGGAGCAAACCGGAUUAGAUACCCGGGUAGUCCCAGCUGUAAACGAUGCACGUUAGGUGUAUCGGUGACCACGAGUCACCGAGGUGCCGAAGGGAAACCGUGAAACGCGCCGCCUGGGAAGUACGGUCGCAAGGCUGAAACUUAAAGGAAUUGGCGGGGGAGCA
This 788-nucleotide ribosomal RNA is filed under the name uncultured archaeon. Its description in RNAcentral is "bacterial SSU rRNA". It matches the Rfam family "Archaeal small subunit ribosomal RNA", at positions 85 to 878 of the family's 1478-position model. The record is from RNAcentral.